GAUGAACGCUGGCGGCGUGCCUAAUACAUGCAAGUCGAGCGAACAGACGAGGUACUUGUUCCUAUGACGUGAGCGGCGGACGGGUGAGUAACACGUGGAUAACCUACCUAUAAGACGGGGAUAACUUCGGGAAACCGGAGCUAAUACCGGAUAAUAUAUUGAACCGCAUGGUUCAAUAGUGAAAGACGGAUUUGCUGUACCUUAUAGAUGGAUCCGCGCCGAUUUAGCUAGUUGGUAAGGUAACGGCUUCCCAAGGCAACGAAGCGUGGCCGACCUGAGGGGUGGUCCGCCCACAUUGGAACUGGACCACGCCCCAGACCCCUACGGGAGGCACCAGUAGGGAAUCUCCCGCAAUGGGCGAAAGCCUGACGGAGCAACGCCGCGUGAUUGAGAAAGGUCUCCGGAUCUUAAACCUCUUUUAUUGGGGAAGAACAAAUGUGUAAGUAACUAUGCACGUCGUGACGGUACCUAAUCAGAAAGCCACGGCUAACUACGUG
RNAcentral lists this ribosomal RNA (497 nucleotides) under uncultured bacterium. RNAcentral's name for it is "partial 16S ribosomal RNA". It matches the Rfam family "Bacterial small subunit ribosomal RNA", at positions 28 to 507 of the family's 1533-position model. The record is from RNAcentral.